CCUACGGGCGGCAGCAGUGGGGAAUAUUGGGCAAUGGAGGAAACUCUGAACCAGCAAAGCCGCGUGAAUGAUGAAGGUCUUCGGAUUGUAAAGUUCUUUUCUAAGGGAAGAAGAAAGUGACGGUACCUUAGGAAUAAGCCUCGGCUAACUACGUGCCAGCAGCCGCGGUAAUACGUAGGAGGCGAGCGUUAUCCGGAAUGACUGGGCGUAAAGGGUGCGUAGGUGGUUUGGCAAGUUAGUAGCGUAACUCCAAGGCUCAACCUUGGAACUACUACUAAAACUGUUGGACUUGAGUGCAGGAGGGGCAGCCGGAAUUCCUGGUGUAGCGGUGGAAUGCGUAGAUAUUAGGAAGAACACCAGUGGCGAAGGCGGGUUGCUGGACUGUAACUGACACUGAGGCACGAAAGCGUGGGGAGCAAACAGGAUUAGAUACCCGGGUAGUC
This 443-nucleotide ribosomal RNA is filed under the name uncultured bacterium. Its description in RNAcentral is "partial 16S ribosomal RNA". It matches the Rfam family "Bacterial small subunit ribosomal RNA", at positions 338 to 795 of the family's 1533-position model. The record is from RNAcentral.